GUCUCCGUUGGUGAACCAGCGGAAGGAUCAUUAGAGAAAUCUAUUGAAGGGAGUUUUAAGCAGGAACAUGAGCAUACCAGCGCUUAAUUGCGCGGUCUGUUUGAGUUUCAUUCAAAUGCUUAUUACUUUCCAACUUCUACACACUGUGGAGUUUUUAUUCUACUUUUUUCUUUGGGUGGACUCGUCUGCCCAAGGGUAACAAACACAAACAAUUUUGUAUGUUUUAUUAAUUUGUCAAACCAAUUUCGUUAUGAAAUACAAACUUUAAAACUUUCAACAACGGAUCUCUUGGUUCUCGCAUCGAUGAAGAACGCAGCGAAAUGCGAUACGUAAUGUGAAUUGCAGAAUUCCGUGAAUCAUCGAAUCUUUGAACGCACAUUGCGCUCUCUGGUAUUCCAGGGAGCAUGCCUGUUUGAGCGUCAUUUCCUUCUCAAACACUCGUGUUUGGUUGUGAGUGAUACUCUUUCUAGGGUUAACUUGAAAUUGCUAGCCUUUUGGCUGCGUGCUGGCUCGGAUAAAGCUAUUUGUCCAGUCUGCCAAUACCAAUGUCGUAUUAGGUUUUACCAACUUCGGCGGAUGGUGCUGGUGGGUGUUAUAAAGACUUAUGGCCUGUUCACUGCUAUUGCGUGGUCUGGCAAACAAUACUCUCAAAGUUUGACCUCAAAUCAGGUAGGAUUACCCGCUGAACUUAAGCAUAU
RNAcentral lists this ribosomal RNA (698 nucleotides) under Saccharomycetales sp. WB. RNAcentral describes it as "eukaryotic LSU rRNA". The stretch from base 269 to 422 matches the Rfam family "5.8S ribosomal RNA". The record is from RNAcentral. Lineage: Eukaryota; Fungi; Ascomycota; Saccharomycetes; Saccharomycetales.